UGGGGAAUCUUGCGCAAUGGGCGAAAGCCUGACGCAGCCAUGCCGCGUGAGUGAUGAAGGCCUUAGGGUUGUAAAACUCUUUCACCGGGGACGAUAACGACGGUACCCGGAGAAGAAGCCCCGGCUAACUUCGUGCCAGCAGCCGCGGUAAUACGAAGGGGGCUAGCGUUGCUCGGAAUUACUGGGCGUAAAGGGCGCGUAGGCGGAUCAGCAAGUUGGGGGUGAAAGCCCGGGGCUCAACCUCGGAAUUGCCUUCAAAACUGCUGAUCUAGAGUACGGGAGAGGUGUGUGGAACUCCGAGUGUAGAGGUGAAAUUCGUAGAUAUUCGGAAGAACACCAGUGGCGAAGGCGACACACUGGCCCGUUACUGACGCUGAGGCGCGAAAGCGUGGGGAGCAAACAGGAUUAGAUACCCUGGUAGUCCACGCUGUAAACGAUGAUUGCUAGUUGUCGGCAGGCAUGCCUGUCGGUGACGCAGCUAACGCAUUAAGCAAUCCGCCUGGGGAGUACGGUCGCAAGAUUAAAACUUAAAUGAAUUGACGGGGUCAUAGCUGUUU
Molecule: ribosomal RNA, 557 nt
Filed under: uncultured bacterium
Lineage: Bacteria
Description: partial 16S ribosomal RNA
Rfam family: Bacterial small subunit ribosomal RNA
Source: RNAcentral